CUGUUGUUGUACACGUUGCAAUGUUUAAUUUGCUAUCUGUAACAUAAUUUUGCUUUUUUGACAGUGUAUCUGAGGUGUGAGAAGUACAAAUCAAGCACAGACUGAAACAUUUUAAAAUACCAGUGUUUGCCAGAGCGUCCUCUCCAAAUUCUCAUAAAGACAGCUGACUUCCCUUAGCAAGAUCGCCAUAUGGGGUGCACUUCUGAGGAUGCACGUAAUUAGGUCUGCUGCUGCGGCAGAUGUUUAUGGAAAUAAAUUCCCACAGCUGACUCUGUGUGCAGAGACACUUUGUGAAAGGAAUGAAGUGGCUUGCAGUCAGCAACACCCUCCACAGAUACAACCAUUUCCUGCAUAAAAAGGAGAACAGAGCAGAGAGGAGAGGCAGGCUGGAUGAUGUGACUCCUCAUUUUAGGAGCUGCACAUCUCGAUGCUUAGGUGACUGAAUCAUUCCACUAUUUCUCUGUUAGGUGGCAGAAGUGUGUUUCUGUCAGGGGUUUGCAUCACAAAACAAAUACUGUGGCUUGCUUAUCAUGUCUGGGGAGAGCUUUCCAGGCAGGCUAGUGUGAGAGGUGGGAUUAAAACCCUAAUUUGCUUUUUGUCUGUGUUUCAUUUUUUGUAUGAUCUUUCUCUUAGAAAAGUCAGUGGGAGAAUUCUCCAUUUAAACUGUGUUUUCAUUGGCAUGGCUUGCAUUAAUUUUUAUCAUGUUGAUUUAUCCCUCUUUUUGCCCAGAGGUUGCUGGCUAGUGGAUGUCCUCAGCUGCAGGAAGCAGAUGACAUGGGAGUUUAAAGUGGCCUCUGACAAUCCAGCAUUUUCACGCCCCUGCCAUGGUCCUGAAAGAUCUUACCAAGGACAGAGCGAUGGAGGAGGUUUGCCUGCCUUACAGUCUGAGGCAGUUGGUGUUAGGGAUCGCACAACAGCAACCAGAUGGAUGGAGGCAGUGUGCCUUCCCGUGUUUGCCAGGAAACUUUGCUCUGUCUUGGGCAAUCCAGGUGUUUGACAACUCCAGGUAAGAACCACUAAUGAAUUCAUGUAGUGAUUUGGAUUAAGAAGAUCAAGGAUGAAUUAACUAAUUUGGACCAGAUCACACAGGAAAUCUAUUGAAUAAUCGGGAAUAGGUAUCUUCAUUUUCUGGGCUUAUUCUAAGUGCAAAAAUGUAUAGGGCUAUCUGUGAGGACCUCCUCCUAUGAUGCACAACAAUGACGUUAAGACUCGGUCUCUGUUACACACACAGCAGCCAAACGAUGAGGAAAAAAAUUGCAAAAUACAGGGAGAACUAUGAUAAUAAUAAUUUACAGAUAGCUUUUUUGUUUUUUGAGGUAUCUCUUUUUUACUGUUUAGAGGAGGCAUUAACAUAUGGAUAAGUAUCAGUUAGCUGAAGUGGACAUAGUAGUAGUAAUUAUUAUUUGUAAUCCCUAGUAGACUUGUAAGGUAAGGAAAAAGACUUUCAAAGACAAAUCUUCCUCAGUUCAUUGCCACCGAUUUCUGUUCAUCUGAAGAUACAGAAUAAAUAUACUGCCAAGCCUUGCCUCUCUCCUUCU
Long non-coding RNA from Dromaius novaehollandiae (emu), 1538 nucleotides. The record is from Ensembl. NCBI's taxonomy places the organism in Eukaryota, Metazoa, Chordata, Aves, Casuariiformes, Dromaiidae.